UCUACCUUUUGGUGGGGAAUAACCCUGGGAAACCGGGGCUAAUACCGCAUAAGCCUGAAAAGGGAAAGGCGAAAGUUGCCGAAAGAGGAGCCCGCGGCUGAUUAGCUAGUUGGUGAGGUAAAGGCUCACCAAGGCGAAGAUCGGUAGCCGGCCUGAGAGGGCACACGGCCACACUGGCACUGAAACACGGGCCAGACUCCUACGGGAGGCAGCAGUGGGGAAUCUUGCACAAUGGGGGAAACCCUGAUGCAGCGACGCCGCGUGAGUGAUGAAGCCCUUCGGGGUGUAAAGCUCUUUCGGCAGGGACGAUAAUGACGGUACCUGAAGAAGAAGCUGCGGCUAACUACGUGCCAGCAGCCGCGGUAAUACGUAGGCAGCGAGCGUUGUUCGGAGUUACUGGGCGUAAAGAGUGCGUA
This 416-nucleotide ribosomal RNA is filed under the name uncultured bacterium. Its description in RNAcentral is "bacterial SSU rRNA". It matches the Rfam family "Bacterial small subunit ribosomal RNA", at positions 125 to 573 of the family's 1533-position model. The record is from RNAcentral.